UACGUAGGUGGCAAGCGUUGUCCGGAUUUACUGGGCGUAAAGAGCGCGCAGGCGGUCGUUCAAGUCGCGUGUGAAAGCCCCCGGCUCAACUGGGGAGGGUCACGCGAUACUGAUCGACUCGAAGGCAGGAGAGGGUAGUGGAAUUCCCGGUGUAGUGGUGAAAUGCGUAGAUAUCGGGAGGAACACCAGUGGCGAAGGCGACUACCUGGCCUGUCCUUGACGCUGAGGCGCGAAAGCUAGGGGAGCAAACGGG
This 253-nucleotide ribosomal RNA is filed under the name uncultured bacterium. Its description in RNAcentral is "partial 16S ribosomal RNA". It matches the Rfam family "Bacterial small subunit ribosomal RNA", at positions 524 to 776 of the family's 1533-position model. The record is from RNAcentral.